This 306-nucleotide ribosomal RNA is filed under the name uncultured bacterium. RNAcentral's name for it is "partial 16S ribosomal RNA". It matches the Rfam family "Bacterial small subunit ribosomal RNA", at positions 507 to 807 of the family's 1533-position model. The record is from RNAcentral.
GACAGCAGUCGCCGCGGGAAUACAGAGGGUGCGAGCGUUAAUCGGAUUUACUGGGCGUAAAGCGUGCGUAGGCGGCUAAUUGAGUCGGAUGUGAAAUCCCCGAGCUUAACUUGGGAAUUGCAUUCGAUACUGGUUAGCUAGAGUGUGGGAGAGGAUGGUAGAAUUCCAGGUGUAGCGGUGAAAUGCGUAGAGAUCUGGAGGAAUACCGAUGGCGAAGGCAGCCAUCUGGCCUAACACUGACGCUGAGGUACGAAAGCAUGGGGAGCAAACAGGAUUAGAUACCCCUGUAGUCCCUGUCUCUUAUAC